RNAcentral lists this long non-coding RNA (41610 nucleotides) under Eucalyptus grandis. Its description in RNAcentral is "long non-coding RNA (EGRA_LNC006378)". The record is from RNAcentral. Lineage: Eukaryota; Viridiplantae; Streptophyta; Magnoliopsida; Myrtales; Myrtaceae.
AUAUCAUCCCACCAACCGCUCACAUGCUUUCGGUCCCUUAUCAGAUACUCCUUCCCUAUCUUUCCCACCAAGUACUGGGUGAACGGAAGGUGGCUCAGGUCGGCAAGGCUAAAGAAAUUCCCUGCCAGGUACUUGCUCUUUGACAGCCUCUCCUCGUAGAUAUCCAGAACCUGACAGAGCUUGUCCUCGCUCUCUUUGAGCUGCUUCGGAUCCGGGGUAAGCCCUCUAAGCGGGCCGAUAACAACUUUGAGGACGAGGUCGAAGAUUGGCGGGUGGAAGUUCUGGGCCUCAACUUCGAGCCACUGCUCAACGAGCCCCCUCUCCUCGACUGUCUUCCCCAGCAGUUCAGUCCCUUGGUCCUUGUAUUUCUCGGCAUAAUACCUUAUGAUGGCCCGCGAUUCUGUAUGAAUUAGACUGGAUAUAUCACGGAGAGUAGACAGACAAAUCUUUAUCCCCACAUAUGAAAAGCAACAAAUAACCAGAAUGAAACCUACAAGAGACAUGCACUGUGCUUUUGAAUUUACCAGCAGAGUCUUACUCUCAUGACACUAGACCCACGGUAUAAGUGUAGAUGCAGCAGGACAUUUCAAUGUCUAUGCACUGAUCAUUCUGCUUAAACUCCAUCAAGAAUAUAACCGGAUGAAAAUGCAGGUCCAAACGGAAAAUCAGCGGCCUUUGGUCGACAUAUGAAAAGAGACAGAUCAUGAACAACUCCAGAACAGAUAUGGAGACUAAGAGCCUGGCCUUAAGAGCUUUGGAUUCAAAUCAUCUGUUCCUCAGGCAAAUGAUUAGACUUGAGAUUGAGAGUGGAUGUAUGUAACCUAAAAAGAGUGGCUGUUAUCGAGUGAACAUGCCAGUGGACUCAAUCUUUUCAACUUCCUCUGAUAUCCACUCAUUGCGGAACUCUUUAGACUAUUGCGACGCUUCACUGGCCGAUUACAACACAAAAAGCCUCUGUAAGUUAGGAACAUCGCAUGCUAAAGAACCAUCCGUAUGUCCCCGUGCUCUGAUCUCAAGACCGCAAGAAAACAGCAAUAGAAAGAAAAGAACGAUGCAAGAAGCCAAGAGUCGAGAGCAUUACCGAACAGAGUGUAGUCGCCAUCUUGAACCACAGGAAGCGAUCCGAAGGGCUACACAGGCGGGCGCGCGCGCACGAGAUCCGAAUCAGCGUCAAUCAGACAAGACACACUUUAAAUGCCAAGUACCCACGAAAGGAGACACGAUGAAAAGUCAAGCUGUCGAGAGUUUGACCGAAAGUGAAGUUGGACUUUCAAGAACGAACGGGACAGACCUGGAGCUCGAGGUACUCGGGGGCUUUGUGCUCGCCUUUGAAGAGGUCGACGCCGACGGUCUCGAACUCGACGCCCUUCUCGAUCAGGCACACAAGCACCCGCUUCGGCGACGCGUAGUCAGGGCCGUACACCUUCACCACCAUCUUCACUCCCGCUCCCUCACUCUCUCUCUCUCUCUGCUUCUUUCUUCCUUCUGGACGGACCUAGCCAGCGACUCUCUCCGCUGUGUCUCCCGGCUUUUAUAAAGAAGUCUCUUUGUUAGAGCAGCAGACAGAAGCUGCACACGUCAAUGAUGCUGCACACGUCAAUGAUGCACCAACCCACCACCAAUCCAAGCUUAGUUAAUUGGUCCCAUCACUAAAGAGUUUCGCAUUUUGCAUUUGCUUCCAUGAGUUUGAAUCCCUCUGCAAGUUAAGACUUAUCUGGAAAUACUGCGACUCUUUGGCUGUGCAUGCUAUCUGGGUAAAGUUGGGAUGGCAAGUAGGGCCUCCUUUGGUUAUAGAUAGAACUUUUUAUAUUUAUGAUAUAAAAAUCAUUUUUGUCUAAUAAUAAAUUUCUUCGAAUUUAAAUAAUUAAAUAUAAACAAUAUAUGAGUUCUAAUAUUAAAAGGGAAAUUCAAAAUAACAACGACUUUCAUUUUAUUUUUAUUUUUAUAUUUGAAUUUAUUUCUAUAUAUACAUACUUAGCAUUUAUAUCUAUAGCAUAUUUUAGGUAUUUUGGUAUAGUUAAUUUAUUAAGAAAUGAUGGAAAGGAAUAAAAAAAAAGAAAAAAAAAAAGAGAGUGAAAAUAAUAUAAAAAUAAGUAAAUAAAAUUGAAGUAGGCGAGAGAGUCUAAACACUAAUUCAGAUUCGCAAAGCUAAAUGAUAAUGUUUUCUUUCUCUUAACAGAUUUGACAUGCAUCCACUAAUUUGCCUAUUGAUGUUGUCGUAGCUCAUUUACAUUUGUCUUCAUAGUCGAACCCAUGACUCUAAAAUGCUGCAAUGACCUCAUUUGCUGUUUAAGAUUUGGAUUGUCCAAUAAUUAUGGAUUUAUUUAUGGAUGUUAUCUCCAUUUUGUCCUUUAAUGGUUUCUUUAGCAAUUAACUGUAAGUUAUUCUUAACAUCUCCCUUUGUACAUUUUCAUGUACAUUUACAUUGAUAUACUAUUCAUACCAAACAUUAGACAUGAUAGGAUAUGAAAAUAUUCGAUUUUAUUACUGUAAUUUACCACAUAAUAGACAAGAUUUUGGUAAUUUCAUAUCCUACCAUAUCAUAUUAUAUUCAGUCAUAUUUUAACUAGAAAUCCAAAUGAACAAAGGUAGCCUAAAAUUGUUAAAAUCCGUCAUGCUCCAUGGGACAUUUGUAAUCUUGAAAGAUCUGUCUUUUGUUGAUUUCUUUUGCACUAAAUUGGUGUCGCACCUAUGCUCUAUACCUUUGAUUAGUUUCGGCCGAAAAGUUUUCAAUAAUCGUCACUAGAAAAUAGUAAAAAGCACUAUGCUCAUUUUUUCACAUGGCCCACGUGCUUCUAGAAAAGGCAAUUACCAAUUUGCUCGAAUUGGGUAGUAGGUGACGGUUCAAAUUGGCCUAUGUCCGCAAGCCAUAGAUUCUAAUAAUCGGUCUUAUUUUUAAUCUAAAUUAUUCGAGGGAGUAGGAAGAUUUGGCCAAUCGAAAAUGCACACUUGAGCUGUCCUUGCGUCAUUUACAAAAUGGUUUUCUUUGUCGACUUCCUUUGCACCUGCAAUUGAGUAAACUAUUGAUCACCUAACCUCCACAAGGAAGAAAGGGGUAGUCAACUAUUAUAUAUUCAACGCCAUUACUCACCCAAAUCAAUCAUCAUGCGUGGGAAUAUAAGAAACCUCAUAACAUUUUUCAUGCGACAACAGAAUUAGAAGAGCAAAAAGCAUCAUUGCUCAAACGAAAUACUGCUAUGGGAAAGACUAUCGGUUCGAGUGUUAGAAGGGAGGUGUUUUUAGGAAGGAUCAUUUAUGUGAGGAAACUUAUAUUGGUGACAAGGGAGAUAUAAAGAGGUGGAAGGAUGCACUAAGUAAAGUAGCUGGUCUCGCCGGAAGAGAAUUGAAAGAUGGGUAGGCCACUCUUCCACUAACUUGGAAUUAUUUGUUUUCUUUAAGUUUAGUGUGCCAUGAAUGUCAUGACUAUCAUACUCUGUAUUAUGUUAGUUCAUCUGAACCAGAAUAUAUGAUUAACUCCUCCAAAACUACACUGCCUCAAUGCUACCUAGGGAACCAAUCAUCUGGAUUUCUUCAUUGUAGAUAUGAGACACAGUUCAUUCAGCAAAUCAUUGGAGAAAUCAAAGAUAAACUUGGUCCCCAGUUGUCCUAUGUUGUAGGUGUUAGGGAAAUCCCUUAUGAUGUUUUAAAGAUGACAAAAUAAAUCAACAGCUACUAACAUGUUUAAUGGUUAAGUAACAGAUUAUGUAGAUGAUAGAACAUAUAAAAGAUAUUGUCAAAGUCUAUACAUGAAAGAACUAGAAGACAGACUUUAUGUUGAAACUGAACUUAUUCAGAUUGUAUCCAGAUCUUAAGUCUAAAUCUGUUCAGAAGUAGAAUAUGUUCAGACUUACGUCCUGAUUGUAAAGUCUAUCUCAGACAGAAUAUUCUCAGACUUUACAUCCAAAACGAGAAACAAGUUCAGAACAUAGCAGAUUCAGAACGAAGCAUGUUCAGAAUGAGACAACUUGACAGAACGUAACACAAGCCCCAAACAUAUAAUGACUAGUGUUCUGGUUUGGAUUUUACAUCAAGAUAGAUUUGAUUAACUUAAUCUAAUUGAUUGACAAUUGAAUAUUGAAGACAAGAACUUUAUAUACGAAGAAGCUCUACUUAUGAAAACCAAGAUUCUGCUGGUAUGGGCAAUCAGAAUUAAUUUAGGAUUAUACUUCUAUCAUUCAACGGCUAUUAAAUCUUUUAGAUACAGAUUUGUCCAAUGGGUAGAUUAGAAGACGAUCCUCUAGAUAUUGUCCAAUGGCUAGUUUGGAAGUGGAUGAGUAUUUAAAGAGAUCAAGAACCGAUGAGCAAGUAAGAAAUGGAGUGUAGAAUUUAUAAUUCCAAAGUCUGAACGACCUUCAAUCAUACACUUGUCUUUAGUGAGCUUAAACGUUUGUGAUUGUGAAAGAAAUACCAAAACAAUGACUUUGUGAGAUAGUGUGAUUUACCACCGAAUGUUUACACUUAAAGUUAUAAUCUCUUGUUGAUCACAUAGUGGAAUCCAGCCAGAAGGCUGUCAGCGUGGGAGAGUGGACAUAGCCUUGAUUUAAGCCGAACCACUAUAAAUUUUGUGUUUUUAUUAUCUUCCCUGAACUCCUUUAUUUUGUUCGUAGUUCUAUUUAACUACUAAAGUUUGAACUCGCUCAAAAUCUGUUGUUCUUCAAACUCAGUUUCAAAAGCAAAAUAUUUUUAUUACUUUUUGCGAAAAAAUUUCUUCACACCUAUUCACUCCCCUCUAGAUGUUCAUACCAGUACUUUCAGUAGGCAAUCUUGUGAGAAUGCAUUCCUGAGUUGCAAAUGUAGUUGAAUAUAUAUGCUUGGACGAGAGUGAUGUACACAAUAUUGGCAUAUGGAGAAUGGGUGGCAUAGGCAAAACAACUGUUGCACGAACAAUUUUUGACAAAAUCUGUGGCUGAUUUGAUGAUGGAUGUUGCUUUCUUGCCAAUGUCAAAGAAAUUUCAAAAAAGAAUGGUCUGGUAUAUCUGUAAAACCAGUUCCUCAGUGAUAUUCUCCAAGAGGACAAUUUGACAAUCAAGGAUGAUCACAGAGGAGCGAACAUAAUAAGAGAACAACUGCGACAUAAAAAAGUUCUUGUUAUGCUUGAUGACGUGGACAAAAAUGAGCAGCUAGAAAAACUAGCAAGAGGUCUUGAAUGGUUUGGACAUGGGAGUAUGAUCAUUAUAACAACCAAAGAUGAACAUUUGCUUCUCCAAUAUGAUGUAAAUUCCAUAUAUAGGGUGGAGGGACUAUCAUUUUAUGAGGCUCACCAACUAUUUUGUUCAAAAGCUUUUAGAAGUGACCAUCCUCCAGUAGAGUUCGAGGAGCUCACAAACCAAGUUAUUGAAUAUGCUGGUGGUCUUCCUCUAGUCCUUGAUGUCGUAGGUUCCUUUUUGGCUUAUAGGAGCUUGAAGCAAUGGAAGAGUGCACUAGCCAAACUCAAGGAAUGUCCAAAAGGGAAAUUUUUUUAUCGGCUUAAGUUAAGUUAUGAUGGACUAUAGCAGAAAGAGAAGGAGAAUUUCCUAGAUAUUGCAUGUUUUUUCAAGGGAAAGGAGAAACCUUACGUUACAGAAGCUCUGGACAAUUGCGGUUUGUAUAUAGAUAUUGGAAUCGAAGCCCUUGUCAAUAAAGCUCUUAUCCAAAUUGUGGGCAACAAACUGUGGAUGCAUGAUUUACUAUAAGAGAUGGCUUGGGAAAUUGUUCGUUGAGUCUCUUGAAGAGCUAGGAGAACGAAGUCGAGUUUGGCUUUUUGAGGAUGUAUGCCAUAUUCUGUCAAAAAACUCGGUGAGUAUCUAUAAAAUUAAUUUGCAAGCAUGCCAAUUUGAUAGAGUUUAAAAAGAACUUGCUAGUCAUGUAUUGACACUAUAUGAGUUGUUUAUCAGUAAACUAGAAAAGUCAAAGCCAUAGUCUUGCAAUUUGAGGACCAUAGAACAAUGCGCUUGAGUGGAGGGUCCUUCAUUAACAUGACUAAAUUAAGAUUGCUUGAUAUUCGGGCCAUCCACCUCUCUUCUGGGUUCAAGCACCUUUCAAAUGAACUAUGCCUGCUAAGAUGGGACAAUUGCAGUCUUAAAUCAUUUCCACCAAGUUUUCUUCCAAAGAAUCUUGUCGAACUCCAUGUGCAGGAUAGCCUCCUUUGCAGCAUUUGGAGAGGGGAAAAGGUUGGAAUUAGUACUAAUGCAUGUUAACCUCAAUGGUUCCAAAUUAUUCGUGGAGACUCCAAACUUCAUACAUGUCCCAAAUCUAGAGAGGCUAAUUCUCAAAGGUUGCAAAGUAUUAUCUAAAGUUCAUCCUUCAAUUGGAAAUCUAGAAAGACUCAGUCUACUUGACUUAGGUGAUUGUGAAAACCUCAUGGGACUUCCAAAUAGUCUAGGUAAUCUAAAAUCUCUCAGAGUUCUUAAUCUAUGUGGAUGUUCAAAUCUUGAAGAAUUGCUUGAUAGCAUCGGGGGCUAAGAGUGCUUAGAGGAGCUUGAUAUUAGUGAAGUGCCAUGACACGCCUCCCAUCCAGCUUGGUGUUCUUACAAAAUCUGAAAAAAAAAAAAAUUACGCUUUCAUGUUAGUAAAAGGAGGCCACAAAAUUGUUAGAGGACACUGACCAAACGCUGAGAAGAGCUCUGAACUCUUGAAGUCUGAGGUUGCCUUCAUUUUCAGGGCUAUCCUCUUUGAUAGAGUUGGAUCUAAGUGGCUGUAGAGUUUUGGAAGGAGAAACUCCCAGUGAUAUUAACUGCUUACCCUCCUUGAGGUCUUUAGACCUAACCGAAAACAGUUUUAUCACCAUACCUACAAGCAUCGGACAUGUCUUUGGCCUGGAAUCGCUUUGCAGCAUUUUCUUCGACCCAUGUUUGACAUAUUAAAUACUCUUGCAGCGUGCAUAAUGUUGGAUAUAGUUGGAUAGUAGAAUCGUUGAAUUUCAUUAUGCUCGCAUAAUUUACAUAUUUUUAAUUAUAAUUCUUUUGUGGGCCAUUUGAAAUUUAAAAGGUCUAUCUUUCGUCAAUUUUUUCUUCACUGGAUGAAUGUCGAACCUAUGCUCAACAGUCAAUUUACGUUACUUGUUUUGGUUGAAAAAUUUCCAACAAUCUUGGUAGAAACGGCAAAAGCAUUUUGCUUGUCCAUGUUGAUAUUGCCCGAUUGCCUGUCUGCUUCUAGAAAAGCAAUUACAAAUUUGCUCGAAUUGGGUAUUGGGGAUACUAAUCGGUCUUUUUCUGCAAUUUCUUUAAAUUUAGGAAGAAUGUUCAAGUGUUGAUAUUCAUGAGACAAUAUGAACUUUUCUCGUAUGCUUCAGCUAAUCUUUUUGGGGAUGAACUCAUUGUGUUAUGCUACUUUGUUUUCGGGAAAAGUACCAAAAAAGUCCUAAGCCUUUUGCAUUGGUACCAAUUUAAUCAUAAACUUUUCAAUUGGACCAAUUUAGUCAUAAACAUUUUGCGUUUGGUACUGAUUUAGUUCAUCCGGCCAUUCUCUACCGGAAAAGGCUUAUGUGGACUCCAAGUCAGUGCUGGCCGGCAUUGCUGGCGCUGACAUCCAGCACUGACAUGGAUGCCGAAGUGCAAAACUACGUCAUUUCGCUUAAAAAAAUUAUUUAAAAAAAAUUAAAAAGGGACUUUUUUACACCCAAAACACAGCAUAUCGUUUACCCUAAAAUUGAAGACGCUCUGCCCACGAUCUUCACCCAACGUACGCCCAAACCCUAUUAUGAUCUCCCCCCAAAAUUCUCAGCAACUUGCUCUAGAUUCAAUCUCAUCUUUCCAAUUUCUUGAAGCCAAGUUGUUCUUCCACCAAUCGCUUUCAUUAAUCAAGCCCCUUUCAGUUGAGGGCUUCAUCCAUCACAAUCCCAGACUCGCCCAUCUUUAUGGGCAAAGACUCAAUUCGCCCACAACCCCGUUGAGACUCGACUCAUUGUCACGACCCGACUCAUCCGUCACAAUCUGAAGCGAACAUGAGUAGGCGUUGUGGUCCCGGUUUGAUUGUUUUGUCGGCAGCGUUGAGCGACAACUUGACGUGGCAUCCUGAAGUUAGCAGAGAAUGUGAAAAGUAUGUUGCCGUGGUCCCCAAUUGAGUGUGUUGUCCUCUUUUUAUUUUAUAUAAUCAAUUUGCCUUGAUUUCUCCACGUAUGUCGUUGUUGGUUGGAAGAGAGAAAUCCAUCACAUUUACUGUCAAGUACCUGUGUGUAGUAGGGAAUAUAACACUUAAGUCUAGCCAAAUCAAUUUCUAAUAAAGCAUGAUAUGAAGAGAAAGCUUAUGUAUGCUCGCGUCUGGCCAAAUUCUUCAUGUGUAUAAUCAUAUGGUUGCUGGAUUCCUGUGUUUUUAUGCACAAUAUGAAGAGAAAGCCUUUGUUUCCGUGCACUUUUUCCUAUUCUUGUACAAGCUUUUUAUUACUUGAGGCAUGCACAAUCACAAUUAAAUAAUUGACAUGAGCAUACAUGUAUUCGGUUUCUCAAUUCAUUGAGGAUCUCUUUUGUGGAGUAGCCAUAGAUUUAUUAGCUGGGGCACUUGCAAACCUCACUGUCAAUUGUGUCCAAAUGAUGAUUAUUUUACGAAACGAGUAAAGGUUCAUGGUGGUUUUGUCAACAAAAGAAAAAUACAGAAAGAGGGGUUCAUAGUUUGGCUUUGAGUACUAACGUUUGAUAACAAAGAGAGAGACUGCAAUUCCAUAUAUUGUAAAAGUUAGUUUUAUUGAUCAAGUCCACACUAUUGACUGUACUCUAAUUUUUUUGAAUCCAUUAACACUUUUGCUUUGGAAGUUUUGGUUUUGAAUCUUUGGAUGUUUUUGAUUUUGAAUUUUUAGAUGUUGAUCACCUCUGAAUCCGAGUAGAUGAUCACUACUUUUUCUUCUAGAAACAUGAUGUAUAGAGUGCUACAUAGUAUGGGACUUACAAGUUCUAUGUAUUGCCUUGCUUAUAACAUACGUUACUUUUUUUCUUUUCUUUUUUCAUGUAGGGUCAAGAUGAGCGAAAAAUCAGCAUGGAUCUGCCUUUUCCAUGGUGGAACUUUAUCUCGUCGCCCAAUGCUUGAAUAUGUUGGAGGCAAGUUUGACUUGGUAAAAGUUGAUAUUAGUUCAACAAGCUACGAAAGCUUCAUUAGAGACAUCGAGAAUGGGGUAAAUAGUACAUUUGAAAAGCUUUAUUUUAAGAUUCCUGGAAAGUCACUAGAAGAGGUGUUGACAUACAUAUGGAAUGAGAAUAGAGUAGUCGAUUUAGUUUUUAGUUAUUUGCAUCAUGGGUUAAUUGAGUUAUAUGGAGAAAAUUUUACGACCAAUGAGGCAGCUGAGGGUGAUGGUCAAGGUGCCAAUGUGGGUGUGGAUAAGGGUAUUGGUCAGAGGGUCGGUGAGGAUGCUGGUCAAGGGGUUGGUGAGGGCGCUGGCACUAGUGUUAGUUUAAGUAAUGAGACCAUGAUUGAGUACAAGAGUGAUUUAGAUCCUGAUGAUUUAGUUAAUGAAGAUGAUUAUAUCGUGGAUGAUGACGAUGACGAUGAGGCAGACUUCCUUGUCGAUGUAAAAUUCUUGACUGAUAAUGAUGAUUAUGAUAAUGAGAAGCUUCUAGAAGCAAGGAAGAACAUGACAAAGUUCCAUGGGAAUGCCAUAAAUGAUUUCAUUACAAGGGAAUCAUCCACGGGGUUGGUGCCAUCACAAAGAUUAGAUGUGAAUAAUGUUACUAAUAUUGGAGCUAAUUAUGAAACAGAGUACUAUGAAACAGAUGGAAAUGAGAGUUUGGAGUCUAAUGAAGGAGAAGAAGAUGAUGAUUUUACUAGGAGGAGAAGUAGGUUUCCAAAGCAUGAUUCUAAUUGUGUUGUGCCUAUGUUUAUUGUGUCUAUGGCAUUUGAAAGUAGUAGGCAAUUCAAAGAUGCUCUAAUAAAGUAUUCAGUGGCUAAGCAUAAAGAGAUAAAAUUUGUAAAGAAUGACUAGAAAUUUGUCAGAGCAAAAUGUGCACAUGAAAAUUAUCCUUUGAAGAUUUCUAGAUCUGUCGAUACUCAUACCGGAUCAUUUCAUGUAAAGGCUUAUCAUUCAGAACAUACCUGUAGCAUAAGUUUCAAGAAUCGGAGGUUGACGAGUUCUUGGUUGGCCAAACACUAUCUUCCUACAAUAAGAGCAAUGCCAACUAUCAAGACUAUUGCUUUCAAGGAGCUUAUCAAUGAGCAACUGGGCAUAGAUGUGAGUAUCAUACAAUGCAAGAAGGCUAAAUUGUUGGCUUAUCAAGUAUUGAUGGGAAACUAUAAGGAGGAAUAUGCAAAGUUGUGGGAUUAUGCAGAGGAGCUUAGGGAGAGAAAUGCUAGGAGUACUAUUAUAUUGAAGGUUGAAAAGUCUGAUAUGCAAUCUAAGGUAUUAUUUGAGAGAAUGUACAUAUGUUUUGCUAUUUGUAAGAAAUGAUUCAUUGAUGGAUGUAGGAAAGUUAUGGGAUUAGAUGGUUGCUUCUUAAAAGGAAUUUGUCAAGACCAAAUCUUAUGUGCUGUUCGAAGAGAUGCAAACGAUCAGAUGUUCCCAAUUGCUUAGGCGGUUGUCCGAGUCGAGAGUAGCGACAGCUGGCGUGGUUCUUUACAAAUUUGAUAUAUGACCUCAACAUUUCAUCCUCAUAUUUACAAGGUUGGGUCAUAAUCAAUGAUAAACAAAAAGUAAGUUCAUUAUUAUUAUUAUUAUUAUUAUUAUUAUUAUUAUUAUUAUUAUUAUUAUUAUUAUUAUUUUGUUAUGCCACUAUAGUGACGCUUGUAAUAUAUGUUUCAUAUUAUGAUCAUCUUUUGCAGGGCCUUGUACAAGCUGUGGCUCAUUUGUUGCCUGCAGCUGAGCAUAGAAUGUGUGUGAGACACAUCUAUGCCAAUUGGAGCAAAAAGUAUAAAGGGAUACAAAUGCAAAGAUUGUUUUAGAAGUGUGCUAAAAGUAGUUCGAUGAUAGAGUUUGAUGAACACUCUCAAGCAUUGAAGAAAAUUAAUGAUACCGCAUAUCAUGACUUAGUUCAAACAGAGCCAAAGCACUAGUCUAGAGCCUUUUUUACAACUGAUGUAAAAUGUGACAUCGUUGACAACAAUUUAUGCGAGGCAUUCAAUGGAAGAAUUAUACAUUCUAGGUGUAAGUCCAUUUACAGUAUGUUGGAGGAAAUUCAAAUAAUAAUAAUGACAAGGAUGCAUACACAGAGGAAUGCAUAUGCUAAAUGGAGAAAGGACUGUGGUCCAAGAAUUGUAAGAAAGUUAGAAAAAGAUAGAGCCGGUGCGACAUAUUGCCAAGUGAUCUGGAAUGGUGAGACUGGAUAUGAGGUAAUGGAUAAGGGUGAGAAAUAUGAGGUGGAUGUGUUUAAGAGAGAUUGUUCUUGUCGAAGAUGGCAGCUUACUGGCAUCCCUUGUCCCCAUGCCAUUUCUGCUUUAAAUCAUAGGCAAGAUGAUACAUAUGAUUAUCUUGAUGAAUGUUACAAGAAGGCUAAGUUUUUAGAUGCAUAUAAAAAUAUGAUGAUGCCAAUUCGAGGGCAGAAAUUUUGGAAACAGACUCAUAGAGAGCCACCUGAACCACUUCCAGCCAAGGUCAAACCUGGUAGACGUAAACUGAAAAGAUUGAGGGAGGAAGGUGCGGUGGCACUUGGAACUAAGAUAUCGAGGAUCGGAAUGAAAAUGACAUGUCAAGCUUGCUUGAAGACAGGACACAACAGUUUAACAUGUCCAGCUAAGAAGAUUGGGUCUACAUCAUCACAAACACGAUUUUCAAGGCAAAACAUUUUGGUUAGUAUCUCCAUUUUCAUUGUGUUAUGCUUGUUUUGUUAAUAAAACUAUAAGCAAAUAUACUUUUUGUAGGUACAGAGACGUACAGGUAAAGUGACAAGUGGUAGUGGUGGCGGCCCUACCGGUGUGAAUCCUACGGUCAACGCAAAAGCCAAAAGUUGCUCAAAGAGGUAGAAGUGGCGAGAUGUGGGGGUAGAUUUAGUAGUGAUAUGUUUUAGUUGUAACUUUUUGUGAAGAUAGGUCAAGUGAAGAUUUUCUUUUAAUGUAAAUUUUUUAUCGGCACACUCUGGGUUCUUGCCUUUUGAAGAAAAAAAACACCCAUGUUGCACUAUCUUCUAGACUUGAUUGAGUUCAACUAAGACAGUACUACUUCAAAGCAGCAACAAAUAUUCGCAUUUUGAUGCCAUGAACUGUUAAUGAAUAUCAUCUCUUGUUUCAAUAUACUUGUUGUAAGUUCUAGGCAUGAGUUUUGCAUUGGUGUUUUUUUUUCCUCUGUACUUCCUUAAUAACCAUACAGCAACUUGGAUAAUGAUGUCCCACAUAUGACAGGUUGUUUGAACCUUUAAUAAGAAAUUGUCUUUUUUUACUUUUUGGUAGCCAUUUGGACGUAAGAUUGUGUGUACGUUGUUUGCUUGUUUGGUAGCCAUUUGGACAUAAGAUUGUGUGUAUGUUGUUUGCUUGUUUAAUAUUUUGUGGUUAUUUGUUCUCGAAGUAGUGAGAUUGUAUUGCUUUUUUUUUUCCUCAUAUUGUACUCCAUUAAUCAUAAUAGCAGGUCGUGACAUCAAGAACGAUAUGUCUUUGGUGUUGAGAUUGAGAAACAAAUUGCAUAUGACACAAGAUAGUGCAAACAACUUUCACUUUGUUCAUGUUCAUGUUCCAACAUGUGGACAAAUACAAAAUAUAUUGCAAAAAUGUACAAAAAUAUAUUAUAUAACAAGAUCAACAUUAACACCAAGCUCAGUACAUCAUUCAUCUUCGAAUUUCCAAAUACCAUGUUUCCUAGAAUUACUGUAAAGACCCACGACACAAUCAACAUGGUCUUCAAUGUCGACAUUUGUUUUUUUUCAACAUUGCUCCGGUGAAAUUGUGUUGACACACUUCUUGUUGAUGGACACAUUUUUGCAUCAACCCAAAUAAAUAAAUAAAUAAAUAAAACCGCAACUUUCUCUGAUUUUAUAUUUCGGAUAGCCGUGAUAUCUUCUUCCUCGAUUCUCCUUCAUCUUUACUGUUUUAUCCUGUAAAAAAGUUAAACAACAGCACCUUAGCAUAUGUUACAUGGCUUAACCUCAAUAGCAACAAUAUAACUCAUUCCAUCUUGAAAUUAGUCUCAACAACAAGAAAUUAGGUCCUAAAUGCACCUCAUAAUGCUGACCUAAAAUUCCUGUCCCUAUUAGGAUACAACAAGCUUACCAAAAGAAAAUACAAAUAAGAACUUCAAAAAUUUGUUUCAUGCUUCUAAGACAAAUGCUUAACAGACUACAUCAGAGCAUAUAUAUUCAUGCUUAGCCAACGCCAACAUCAGAGUAAUUUUCCUCCCAAAUUGUAUGCAUGAUAUGGAUCUCGAUUUCCCAAAAACUAAGCAAAUGUCAACGUCGACUACAAAGUUUAGGCAAAUGUGAUUUCGACUCCAAUUAAGCCAAUAGUUCUUGGAGGGAGAUCAGAAUCCGCAAACACAGCGUGCAAGCAACGUCGCCAUUUGAGCCAUCCGCAAACUAUGGUACCAUAUUUGGAAGAUGAAGACCCCCCUCUAAAAUUAGGAUUUUUCUUUGGAGUAUAUGUCAAAAUGCUCUUCCCACAACAGAAAAUCUUACCUCGGCCAGCAUGCCUAAUCUAUGAUCAAGAAGCAGAAUCAGUGGAACAUAUAUCCUUCCUUUGUCUAUGGACGAACUCAAUUUGGUCGGAUCCUGAAGUAAAAAUCCAAAUUUCACGUCAAAACCUUUUGCGAAUUGAGGUUUGGCUCCAACACAUAAUUGAACAGCCGGGAAAUUCACUGACUUUCGAAGAAAUUACAACCCUUUUGUGAUUCAUUUCAAAAGCAAUGAAUGACUUUGUAUUUCAAAGGUUAAACCCCAAAUUCGAGAAACCCUAAUUGACUCAGCACAAGCAUUACUCAGCAAUUUCAGCAAGUGGAACAAGCAAAGUUCGAAACUUUACAUGGGAAUGACUCAAUUGACUCAAAGAUUGGAUCCCAUUGAAGCCUCUUACCUUUAAAAAUCAACAUCGACAGAGCAUUUAUGGAAGGAGCAACGGUAGUGGCCAUCUUGGGAGUUCUUCGAGACGCGUUGGGAACCCUUCUCGACGGUUUCGCAAAGACGAUUCCAGCUUCAAUGGCGAUCCAGAUGGAGUACUUGGCCUUGAUUGAAGCUCUGAAUUUUUUUCGGUCAAAGAGAGAGAGAUGGAGGCGAUUGGUGGAAGAACAACUUGGCUUCAAGAAAUUGGAAAGUCGAGAUUGAAUCUAGAGCAAGUUGCUGAGAAUUUUUGGGGUAGAUCAGAAUAGGGUUUGGGCGUACUUUGGGCGAAGUUCGUGGGCGGAGCGUCGGUAGAGCAUGGGCAGAGCAUCUUCAAUUUUAGGGUAAACGAAAUGCUGCGUUUUGGGUGUAAAAAAGUCCCUUUUGAAAAAAAAAUUAAUAAUUUUUUUAAGCGAAACGACGUAGUUUCGCACUCCGGCGUCCAUGUCAACACCGGCAACGCCAGCCGGCGUUGACUUGGAGUCCACAUAAGCCUUUUCUAGUAGAGAAUGGCCGGAUGAACUAAAUCAAUACCAAACGCAAAAGGUUUAGGACUAAAUUGGUCCAAUUGAAAAGUUUAAAACUGAAUUAGUAUCAAUGCAAAAGGUUUACGAUUUUUUUGGUACUUUUCCCUUUUGUUUUCUGCAACAGUUUUGGCUUUUCUUUCGAUGCAAAGGAGUCGGCAAACCUCCGUCUUCUUCAUGCCAACAAGACGCGCCCACAUCUGAUAUAUAAAACUUGAUGCGGUCGGUAUCCAUGUUUAUAAAGAGUUCAUUAUCUCUUAGAAUGAGUCUUAACAGCUCAUCUAACACCAAUUCAGUGAGUACUGGACAUAUAAAUGAAAGUCUAUGAAGUUGCUCCUUUCAAGUUGUAAAAGAUCCUCAAAAGUUGAUAAGUAGGUGAUUAAUUUUUAAUUUCACCAAAGUCGCUCGCAUAGUACUAAUCAGCUGCGAACACAGCCCAACAACACACAACACCGCCAUGAAUAAUACAACAAGAAGGAGGUCCACGACAGGAUCGGUCAAACCAGACUCAACAAAGCUUAUUUGAUCACCCAGAUCGAGUAGAAACAUACUUAGUAGACACAGAAAGACUCGCUAUCCUUCGCAUAGACCAAGGACUCGGGUGCACUCGGCAUAACUGAUAAAACAGUCCUAAUACAGACCGGGCCAGAGCUCAAGGACCUUCUUCCAAGAAGGCCUGCUCGAGAUAUCAUCCCACCAACCGCUCACAUGCUUUCGGUCCCUUAUCAGAUACUCCUUCCCUAUCUUUCCCACCAAGUACUGGGUGAACGGAAGGUGGCUCAGGUCGGCAAGGCUGAAGAAAUCCCCUGCCAGGUACUUGCUCUUUGACAGCCUCUCCUCGUAGAUAUCCAGAACCUGACAGAGCUUGUCCUCGCUCUCUUUGAGCUGCUUCGGAUCCGGGGUAAGCCCAAUAAAAGGGCCAAAAACAAUUUUGAGGACAAGGUCGUAGAUUGGCGGAUGGAAGUUGUGGGCCUCGACUUCGAGCCACUGCUCAACGAGCCCCCUCUCCUCGAUUGUCUUCCCCAGCAGUUCAGUCCCUUGGUCCUUGUAUUUCUCGGCAUAAUACCUUAUGAUGGCCCGCGAUUCUGUAUGAAUUAGACAGGAUAUAUCACAGAGAAUAGACAGACAAAUCUUUAUCCCCACAUAUGAAAAGCAACAAAUAACCAGAAUGAAACCUAAAAGAGGCAUGCACUGUGCUUUCGAAUCUUCCAGCAGUCUUACUCUCAUGACACUAGACCCACGGUAUAAGUGUAGAUGCAGCAGGACACUUCAAUGUCUAUGCACUGAUCAUUCUGCUUAAAGUCCAAUCAAGAACAUGACCGGAUGAAAAUGCAGGUCCAAACUGAAAAUCGCCUUUGGUCGACAUACGAAAAGAGGCAGAUCAUGAACAACUCCAGAACAGAUAUGGAGACUAAGAGCCUGGCCUUAAGAGCUUUGGAUUCAAAUCAUCUGUUCCCGAGGCAAAUGAUUAGACUUGAGAUUGAGAGUGGAUGUAUGUAACCUAAAACGAGUGGCUGAUAUCAGGUGAACAUGCCGGUGGACUCAAUCUUUUCAACUUCCUCUGAUAUCCACUCAUUGCAGAACUCUUUAGACUAUUGCGACGCUUCACCGGCCGAUUACAACGCAAACAGCCCUAGUAAAUUAGGAACAUCUGCACGCUAAAGAACCAUCCGUAUGUCCCCGUGCUCUGAUCUCAAGACCGCAAGAAAACAGCAAUAGAAAGAAAAUAACGAUGCAAGAAGCCAAGAGUCGAGAGCAUUACCGAACAGAGUGUAGUCGCCAUCUUGAACCACAGGAAGCGAUCCGAAGGGCUACACAGACGCGCGCGCACACACGAGAUCCGAAUCAGCGUCAAUCAGACAAGACUACCCACGAAAGGAGACACAAUGAAAAUUCAAGCGAUCAAGAGUUUGACCGAAAGCGAAGUUGGAGUUUCAAGAACGACCGGGACAGACCUGGAGCUUGAGGUACUCGGGGGCUUUGUGCUCGCCUUUGAGGAGGUCGACGCCGACGGUCUCGAACUCGACGCCCUUCUCGAGCAGGCACACCAGUGCCCGCUUCGGCGACGCGUAGUCAGGUCCGUACACCUUCACCACCAUCGUCACUCUCGCUCUCUCUCUGUGCUUCUCUCUUCCUUCUUGACGGACCUAGUCAGCGACUCUCUCCGCUGUGUCUCCGUGGCGCUAUAAAGAGGUCUCUUUGUUAGAGCAGCAGAAGAAGGUGCACAAGUCAAUGAUGCACCAACCCACAAUUAAUCCAAGGUUAGGUAAUUGGUCCCCAUCAUUAUGAAGUUUCGCAUUUCGCAUUUGCUUCCAUGAGUUUGAAUCCCUCUGUAAGUUCAACUUAUGUGGAAAUACCGCGACUCUUUUGGCUGUGUAUGCUAUCUGGGUAAAGUUGGGAUGGCAAGUAGGGCCUCCUUUGGCUGUCAAGGGAUUUAUUGCCCUAGAUUAAAAAUAUCCCAUAAAAGAGAUGAAAUAAAUAUAGAUAGAAUUUUUUAUAUUUAUGAUAUAAAAAUCAUUUUUGUCUAAUAACAAAUUUCUUCGAAUUUAAAUAAUUAAAUAUAAACAAUAUAUGAGUUCUAAUAUUAAAAGGGAAAUUCAAAAUAACAACGAUUUUCAUUUUAUUUUAUUUUUAUUUAUCCGAAUUUAUUUUCUAUAUAUACAUACUUAGCAUUUAUAUCUAUCACAUAUUUUAGGUAUAUUGGUAUGGUUAAUUUAUUAAGAAAUGAUGGAAAGGAAUUAAAAAAAAAAGGAAACAAAACAAAAGAGUGAAAAUAAUAUAAAAAUAAAUAAAUAAAAUUGAAGUAGGCGAGAGAGUUGAAACACUAAUUAAGAUUCGCGAAGGUAAAUGAUCAUGUUUUCUUUCUCUUAGUAGAUUUGACAAGUGUUGACUAAUCCACCUAUCAAUGUUGUCAUAGCUCAUUUAGGUUUGUCGUCAAAAUCGAAUUCAUGACUUUGAAAUGUUGCAAUGAGCUCAUUUGUUAUUUAAGAUUUGGAUUGUCCAAUAAUUAUGCAUUUAUUUAUGGAUGUUAUCUCUGUCUACUUAUGGUUUCUUUAACAAUUAAUGUAAGAUAUUCUUAACAUCUCCAUUUGUACAUUUUCAUGUUCAUUUAUAUUGAUAUACUAUUCCUAGCAAAUAUUUGACAUGAUAGGAUAUGAAAAUAUUCAGUUUUAUUACAACAAUUCACCACAUAAUAGAUAAGAUUUUGUUAAUUCCAUAUCUUACCAUAUCACAUUCUAUUCAAUCAUAUCGUAAUUAGAAAUCCAAAUGAACAAAUACACCUAAAAUUGUUAAAAUUUGUCAUGCUCCAUGGGACAUUUGUAAUCUUGAAAGAUCUGUCUUUUGUCGAUUUCUUUUGCACUAAAUUGGUGUCGCACCUAUGCUCUACACCUUUGAUUAGUUUCGGCCGAAAGUUUUCAAUAAUUGUCACAAGAUGAAAAGCACCGUGCUCAUUUUUUUCACAUGGCCCACCUGCUUCUGGAAAGGCAAUUACCAAUUUGCUCGAAUAGGGUAGUAGGUGAGAGGUCAAAUUGGCCUAUGUCCGCAAGCCAUAGAUUCUAAUAAUCGGUCUUCUUUUCAAUCUAAAUUAUUCGAGGGAGUAGGAAGAUUUGGCCAACCGAAAAUGCACACUUGAGCUGUCCUUGCAUCAUUAACAAAAUGGUUUUCUUUCUCAACUUCCUUUGCACCUGCAAUUGAGUAAACUAUUGAUCACCUAACCUCCACAGGAGAACAAGCAAGAAAGGGGUAAUCGAUUAUUAUAUGUUCGACGCCAUUAUUCACCCAAAUCAAUCAUCGCGAGUGAGAAUUUAAGAAACCUCAUAACAUUUUUCAUGUGACAACGGAAUUAGAAGAGCAAAAAGCAUCAUUGUUCGGACGAAAUACUGCUAUGAGAAAGACUAUCGGUUCGAGUGUUAGAAGAGAGGUGUUUUUUGGAAGGAUCAUUUAUGUGACUCUCUCUCCUCUGAAACUUUUUCGUAUUUGAUUCGUCAAACCUAAUUGCAAAAGUAAACCGUGAUAAUUUCACCCUGCAAUGCUGGUCAAGUACGCUGCUUUGGUUGGCUUCCUGGCUGCCCACUGAUUAGGGCGAGUCCUGAAAAUUACUGUCUUGGAUUGAAUCAAGCCGAGGAAUGCGGAGAAACCUUAUAACGAAUAUUGAUCUCCUGCUGAUGCUCAGAGGCACACCAUCGUAAAAGACAAAUCGUAAUAUUUGGUCUUUCUUUGUUUUAUUUGGUCAAAAGUGGGCUUUUUCAUAUUUAAAGAAAGGAGAAAAGAAGAGUAAUAAUGGGACAGCCCGCACCGAGAGAGAAAGGAAAAGGAAACGCGAUAGAAAAGGAAGACGAGAGGGAAAAGGUAAAGAGGAAGAACUAGCGCACACACCUUGGAAUUAUCGUCAGGUUGGAUUGACUUCAUUUUUAUGAUCAGAAUUUACGGCAUUUGUUUGUUUAUUCGGAGUAGUUUUCAAAAUCAAGAUACAAAUUCGAAAUCAUGUGAAAUUUAAACUACGAAUUCAGUUUUUGAGUUGUUAGAUGUGGAAUUGCAUGGAAAUCAUGAUUAGGGCGUUAUGGAGUCAUGAAAUAUGAUGGGAAUUCCUUACCAAAAUUAUUUGAAGUAACUUUUAAAUCAUAUUUGAUGGGAUUUAUUUGAAGUAACUUUUUAGUCGAAGUGAACUUUAGAAAUUUCUACAGAGCUCUACAUUGUGAUUAGCUUUGAUUCAUCGCAAUGGGCGAGCGAUUUGUUGUGCAUGGGUGUAAUUUUGUUAGGGAUUAAACUUAGUUCAGCCAAUUCGUGGUUGAGAUAGUGUUUUACUUGAUUUUGAUGUAAAUUCUAAUUUAAUUUAUAAAAUUACAAGAUCGUCAGCUCUUUUGAUUUUGGGUAUUUUCAAGUGAAUGAUACUAUCCCUUUUUUGAAUUUCUAAACUCAUAUGUUGAAAAUGAAAGGGAUUAGACAUAUUAUGUGUAAAGUAUGAUUUAAUUAAAUGGCAGAAAUGAUGUUCAUUGCAUAUUUGAUACAUAAAAUUUGAAUCGGGUAUUUAUUGCCCUUUUGAUUAUUUGAAAUAGCGUGGAAAGCAUUUUUGGAAACAAUUUACGAGUUGAUUAUUAUGAAAUAAUUUGGGAAGUGCUUUAUUGCAUAAAAGUUAUAUGUAUUGAUUUGUGAAAUUGAUUUAUAAAGGUAUUAUAUUGCAAAAGGAUAUAUGUUUGAUAUUAUGAAAACCAUUUAUGAUAUCGAUUCUGGAUUAGUUUUGAGGAAGAAAUUGAUUUUUGAAAGGAUAUAUGUUUUGGUUUGUGUCAAAGUAUUUUGAUUAUGGGAUGGAUCUGGGUUUGGUAUUGUGGAUUAUUAGAAUAUGAUGGUUUGAUUCUUAUUAUUGUUGCAAACUUAGUUAGGAGUUUUUAAGGCUUAAGGAUAUUAUUAUGGGUCAAACCACUAGCUGCUAAUAGGCGGAGACAUUGCCUUGGUCCUCUUUCACCAAUCGUGAUUAUGGUUGAAUAUUAAGCAUAAAAUGAAUCAGUGAAAUAGCUUAUUGAUGUGUGGAGCGAGUUUCAAGAACAGAGACAGGCCUGAACUUGAGGAAUUCAGGGGCUCUGUUCUCGUCCUUGAAGAUAUUGAUGGGAACGGUCUCGAACUCGACGCCUUCUCGACCAGGCACACCAGCACUCGCUUCGGAUUUGCAUAAUCAGGCCCGUACACCUUCACCACCAUUUUUUCUCUCUUCUUCUCUCUUGUCGACGGACCAGUUGAUUUCCAAAUAUCUUUCAGGAUCGACUCUCUCCUUCUGCAUCUGGGUUUUUAAAGGAAGCCCUUUUCAGAGGAUUAAACCAUGUUGCACACGACACCGUCAUGCACCAACAUACUGCUCGCGACCCGAUUCCUUUGGGGAUCCAAGGUUAGAUAAUCGGUCAACGUUGGUAUGCUACUAAUUACCUUUGUCGAAUUUUACUUCGCAUAUGCCUUGGAAGGCUUUGCAACAUUUCCUCUGACUUAUCUUUCAUAGAUUCUUCUCUGGCAAUGCGCAUGCUAUGACAUAUUUGGACGGUAGACUUGAAAUUCAUUAUGCUCGCACAAAUUUCCGCAGAGAAAACGACAGUCUUUAAAACUUUAGCCUAAGUACAACGUCAUCUUUGACUUUUAUUAAUUUAGUGAAUUCCUUGAAUUUCUAAUGUCCAAUCUAAUCCUUAAACCCUUUCGCAUUUUCCCAAUUAAGUCCAUCUAGCCAAUUUUAGCUAAAAAUCACUAAACUAGACAUUAACUAUAUUAGGUAGUACAGGUGACAUUGACGUAAAUAAUUUUUUAAUUUUUUUUAACAUUUUUAAUGAACUUUUUAUUUUUUAUUUUUCUUUUCUUUUUCUAAUCCUAGGCCGGCAACCCUCGCCUUGUCUAGGCUAGGGGCCCUCGAGCUGCGGUGGUUGUUUUUGUAGCAAUGGUCUCCCUCCUCCUUUGAGGAGUUUGUGUUCUGAUCUUCAUGCCGUGCUUGUCUCUUGUUAGCUUGGCUUCCUUUUUCUGGUUGCCUUGUGUUGUUGAUUUUACAUCUCGGCAUCCGUCCACUCAUUAUGUCCUCUCAUCUUGAGUGUAUGUUUUCGAUGCCGUAACCUUUUGUACAUUUGGCAUUUCCCUAUAUAUUUAUUACCUCUUACCAAAAAAAAAAAAAAAAAAAAAACAGGUGAAGGAUGCCCUCGCCUUACCCAAGCCAAGCAAGGUUGUCACAGCCCUAGCCUAAAUCUAGGCAAAGGCCAACCCUCUCACUUGUGGCCUGCAACUUAAGUAACAUCGAUCAGUAUGUGACAUGCAACACAACAUAAGACAACGUGCGAUAUGGCACAACACGAUACGUUGACACAUUAAUUCUCGAAAAAUAGAGAAUUCCAACACGUUAGGAUGCAUUGUAUAUUAAAUAUAUAUAUUUUAUAUAUACAUGAUAAAUUAUCAUUUUUAUGAUUAUUUUAAUAAAUUUAAUUUGAUUUAGAUUCGGAAUAAAUAAAUAAUAAAAAAGAGCCUAGAAUGAAUUUACACUAAAAACAUUAAUUUACCGUUUGUUGAUAUGAUUCAUUGUUUCAAUUUAACAAAUCUAACUAUAUUCCGUUCAAAUAAUCUAUAAAACUUGAAGGAAAAAAAAAUCACAUUCCAUUAUUAAAUUUAACAUUUAACAAGAAAUCGAAAAAAAAAAACAAUUCACAUUUCACCAUCAAAUAUAACAAGAAGUCGUUAUUUCCCCCUUUAUUUAUUUUUAUUUUUAUUUUAUUUUUUACAUAUUUAUAUUUUGACUCCUCGUUUAGUGAAACUUUUUAAAAUUAACCUAAUGUGUAUCAAAAUCACUUGUCAGAAUUAUAGACUCACAUGUCGGAUCAUGUCGGGCCGUAUGUCGGAUUUUCCGACACCUGUUGACUACAUAUCAGAAUGUGUGGGAGCGUGUCGAAGUGUUUGACACAACACGAAAGAUCUUGGAAAAUGAACUAGGGUUAGGAAAAAAAAUAAAGAAAAGGAAAAACAAACAAAUAAAUAAAAUUAAAAUAUUCAAAUAUUAUUAAAAAUUGUGUAUGUUAGCGCUAGUCGUUGCCAGCCAUAUCACAUACAAUGUCUGAUCCACAUUAGUAAUUUUAUGUCAACAUUGGUUGAAGGAACUCAAUUGGCAAAAGUCGAAGAUGUUUAGACUCAAUUAACAAAAUUGAAAAGUUUAUGACUAAAUUGGCAAAAUUACUAUAGAUUUAUGACUUUUUGGAUAAUUUUUCCUCUUCCCUUGCAUGCAAUGCGGACUGAACUUAUCUCCUAGAGUGAGUCUUAACAGCUCAUCUAACACCAGUUCAGUGAGCGCUGGACAUGUGAACGAACAUUUAUGAAGUUGCUCUUUCCAAGUUGUAAAAUAUCCACGAAAGUUGGUUAGUAGGUGGUUAAUUUUUAAUUUCACCAAAGUCACUGGCAUUGUACUAAUUAGCCGCGUACAUAGCCCGACAAAACACGACACCGCCAUGAAUAAUACAACACCAAAGAGGUCCACAGCAGGAUCAUUUACUGGAGAAAUCCCACUUUUACACAUGACCUUCACAAACCAGACUCAACAAAAGCUUAUUUGAUAGUCCAAAUCUGCCGAUUCAGAUCGAGUAGAAACAUACUAAGUAGGCACAAAGAGACUCGCUAUCCUUCACAUAGACCAAGGACUCGGGUGCACCCGGCAUACCUGAUAAAACAGUCCUAAUACUGACCGGGCCAGAGCUCAAGGACCUUCUUCCAAGAAGGCCUGCUCGAGAUAUCAUCCCACCAACCGCUCACAUGCUUCCGGUCCCUUAUCAGGUACUCCUUCCGCAUCUUGCCCAUCAAGUACUGGGUGAACGGAAGGUGGCUCAGGUCCGCAAGGCUGAAGAAAUCCCCUGCUAGGUACUUGCUCUUUGACAGCCUCUCCUCGUAGAUAUCCAGAACCCGACAGAGCUUGUCCUCGCUCUCUUUGAGCUGCUUCGGAUCCGGGGUAAGCCCAAUAAGCGGGCCGUAAACAAGAUUGUGGACAAGGUCGUAGAUUGGCGGAUGGAAGUUGUGGGCCUCGACUUCGAGCCACUGCUCAACGAGCCCCCUCUCCUCGAUUGUCUUCCCCAGCAGUUCAGUCCCUUGGUGCUUGUAUUUCUCGGCAUAAUACCUUAUGAUGGCCCGCGAAUCUGUAUGAAUUAGACAGGAUAUAUCACAGAGAGUAGACAGACAAAUCUUUAUCCCCACAUAUGAAAAGCAACAAAAAACCAGAAUGAAACCUAAAAGAGGCAUGCACUCUGCUUUUGAAUUUACCAGCAGUCUUUACUCUCAUGACAUUAGACCCACGGUAUAAGUGUAGAUGCAGCAGGACAUUUCAAUGUCUAUGCACUGAUCAUUCUGCUUAAACUCCAAUCAAGAACAUAACCGGAUGAAAAUGCAGGUCCAAACGGAAAAUCAGCGGCCUUUGGUCGACAUAUGAAAAGAGACAGAUCAUGAACAACUCCAGAACGGAUAUGGACACUACGAGCCUGGCCUUAAGAGCUUCGGAUUCAAAUCAUCUGUUCCUCAGGCAAAUGAUUUGACUUGAGAUUGAGAGUGGAUGUAUGUAACCUAAAAUGAGUGGCUGAUAUCAAGUGAACAUGCCGGAGGACUCAAAUCUUUUCAACUUCCUCUGAUAUCCACUCGUUGUAGAACUCUUUAGACUAUUGCGACGCUUCACUGGCCGAUUACAACGCAAACAGCCCUAGUAAAUUAGGAACAUCUGCAUGCUAAAGAACCAUCCGUAUGUCCCCGUGCUCUGAUCUCAAGACCGCAAGAAAACAGCAAUAGAAAGAAAAGAACGAUGCAAGAAGCCAAGAGUCGAGAGCAUUACCGAACAGAGCGUAGUCGCCAUCUUGAACCACAGGAACCGAUCCGAAGGGCUACACAGGCGCGCACACACGAGAUCCGAAUCAGCGUCAAUCAGACAAGACACACUUUGAAUGCCAAGUACCCACGAAAGGAGACAUAAUGAAAAGUCAAGCUGUCAAGAGUUUGACCGAAAGAGAAGUUGGAGUUUCAAGAACGACCGGGACAGACCUGGAGCUUGAGGUACUCCGGGGCUUUGUGCUCGCCUUUGAAGAGGUCAACGAUGACGGUCUCGAACUCGACAUCCUUCUCGAUCAGGCACACGAGCACCCGCUUCGGCGACGCGUAGUCAGGGCCGUACACCUUCACCACCAUCCUCACUCUCGCUCCCUCACUCUCUCUCUCUCUGCUUCUUUCUUCCUUCUUGACGGACCUGGUCAGCGACUCUUUCCGCUGUGUCUCCCGGGUUUUAUAAAGAAGUCUCUUUGUUAGAGCAGCAGACAGAAGCUGCACACGUCAAUGAUGUACCAACCCACCACCAAUCCAAGGUUAGUUAAUUGGUUCCCAUCACUAAAGAGUUUUGCAUUUUGCAUUUACUUCCAUGAGUUUGAAUCCCUCUGCAAGUUAAGACUUAUGUGGAAAUACUGCGACUCUUUGGCCGUGUAUGCUCUCUGAGUAAAGUUGGGAUGGCAAGUAGGGCCUCCUUUGCCUGUCCAGGGAUGUAUUGCCCUAGAUUAAAAAUAUCCCAUUAAAGAGAUUAGAUAAAUAUAGAUAGAAUUUAUUAAAUUUAUGAUACAAAAACUAUUUUUAUCGAAUAACAAAUUUCUUCGAAUUUAAAUAAUUAAAUAUAAACAAUAUAUGAGUGCUAAUAUUAAAAGGGAAAUUCAAAAUAACAAUGAUUUUGGUUUCACUUUUAUUUAUUUAUCUAUCACAUAUUUUAGGUAUAUUGGUAUGGUUAAUUUAUUAAGAAAUGAUGGAAAGGAAUGAAAAAAGAAACAAAAAAAGAGAGUGAAAAUAAUAUAAAAAUAAGUAAAUAAAAUUGAAGUAGGCGAGGGAGUCAAAACACUAAUUAAGAUUCGCAAAGGUAAAUGAUCAUAUUUUCUUUCUCUUAGUAGAUUUGACGAGCGUUGACUAAUCUACCUAUCAAUGUUGUCAUAGCUCAUUCACAUUUGUCGUCAAAGUCAAACUCAUGACUCUGAAAUGUUGCAAUGAGCUCAUUUAUUGUUUAAGAUUUGGAUCGUCCAAUAAUUAUGGAUUUAUUUAUGGAUGUUAUCUCUGUCUACUUAAGGUUUCUUCAGCAAUUAACUAUAAGAUGUUCUUAACAUCUCCCUUUGUACAUUUUCAUAUUCAUUUAUAUUGAUAUACUAUUCAUACCAAAUAUUAGACAUGAUAGAAUAUGAAAAUAUUUGGUUCUAUUACUGUAAUUUACCACGUAAUAGACAAGAUUUUGUUAAUUUCAUAUCCUACUAUAUCAUAUUAUAUUCAGUCUUAUCUUAACUAGAAAUCCAAAUGAACAAAGAUAGCCUAAAAUUGUUAAAAUCCAUCAUGCUCCAUGGGACAUUUGUAAUCCUGAAGAUCUGUCUUUUGUCGAUUUCUUUCGAACUAAAUUGGCGUCACACCUAUACUCUACACCUUUGAUUAGUUUCGGCCGAAAGUUUUCAAUAAUCGUCACCAGACAUGGCGAAAAGCACUGUGCUUAUUUUUUCACAUGGCCCGCCUGCUUGUAGAUAGGCAAUUACCAAUUUGCUCGAAUUGGGUAGUAGGUGACGGGUCAAAUUGGCCUAUGUCCGCAAGCCAUAGAUUCUAAUAAUCGGUCUUCUUUUUAAUCUAAAUUAUUCAGGGGAGUAGGAAGAUUUGGCCAAUCAAAAAUGCACACUUGACCUGUCCUUGCACCAUAUACAAAAUGGUUUUCUUUGUCGACUUCCUUUGCACUUGCAAUUGAGUAAACUAUUGAUCACCUAACCUCCACAAGGAAGAAAGGGGUAAUAGACUAUUAUAUGUCCGAUGCCAUUAUUCACCCAAAUCAAUCUUUGCGCGUGGGAAUAUAAGAAACCUCAUAACAUUUUCCAUGCAACAACGGAAUUAGAAGAGCAAAAAGCACCAUCGCUCAGACAAAAUACUGCGAUGGGAAAUACUAUCGGUUCGAGUGGUAGAAGGAGGUGUUUUUGGGAAGGAUCAUUUAUGUGACUCUCUCUCCUCCGAAACUUUUUCAUAUUUGAUUAGUCAAACCUAAUUGCGAAAGUAAACCGUGAUGAUCUCACCCUGCAAUGCUGGUCAAGUACGCUGCUUUGGUUGACUUCCUGGCUGCCCACUGAUGAGGGCGGGUCCUGAAAAUUGCUGUCUCGGAUUGAAUCGAGCUGAGGAAUGUGGAGAAACCUUAUAACGAAUAUUGAUCCAGCUGAUGCUCGGAGGCACACCAUCGUAAAAGACAAAAUGUAAUAUUUGGUCUUUCUUUGUUAUAUUUGGUCAAAAGUGGGCUUUUCAUAUUUAAAGAAAGGAAAAAAUAAGAGUAAUGAUGGGACAGCCCGCACCGAGAGUGAAAGGAAACGGGAAAGAAAAGGAAGACGAAAGAGAAAAAGUAGAGAGGAAGAACUAGCGCACACACCUUGGAAUUCUCGUCGAGUUGGAUCAACUUCAUUUUUAUGAUAAAAAUUUACGGCAUUUGUUUGUUUAUUUGGAGUAGUUUUCAACAUCAGGAUACAAAUUCGAAAUUAUGUGAAAUUUAAACUACAAAUUCAAUUUUAAGAUGUGAUAUUACAUGGAAAUCAUAAUUAGGGCAUUAUGGAGUUAUGGAAAAAGAUUUGAAGUAACUUUUUGGUCAAUGUGAAAUUUUAGAGAUUUCUGCAUGAGCUCUACAUUAUGAUUUAAUUAAAUGGCAGAAAUAAUGUUCAUUGCUUAUUUGAUACAUAAAAUUUGAAUCGGGUAUUUAUUGCCCUUUUGUUUAUUUGAAAUAGCGUGGAAAGCAUUUUUGGAAACAAUUUACUAUUAUUGUGAAAUAAUUUGGGAAAUGCUUUAUUGCAUAAAAGCUAUAUGUAUUGAUUUGUGAAUUUGAUUUAUAAAGAUAUUAUAUUGCGAAAGGAUAUAUGUUUGAUAUUAUGAAAACUUUAUGAUAUCGAUUCUGAAUUGGUUUUGAGGAAGAAAUUGAUUUUUGAAAGAAUAUAUGUUUUUUGUUUGGUCGGUCAAAGGAUAUAUGUUUUGGUUUGUGUCAAAGUAUUUUGAUUAUGAGAUGGAUUUGGGUUUGGUAUUGUGGAUUAUUAGAAUAUGACGAUUUGAUAAUUAAUAUUGUUGCGAACUUAGUUAGGAGUUUUUAAAGCUUAAGGAUAUUGUUAUAGGCCAAACCACUAGCUGCUAACAAGCAGAGACAUUGCCUUGGUCAUGUUUCACUAGACAUUGUGUCGUGAUUAUGGUUGAAUAUUAAGCAUAAAAUGAAUCAAUGAAAUAAAUCAUUGAUGUAUGGUGUGAAAUUAAUCAUUGGUCAAUGAAAUAGAUCAUCGAUAUGUGAAUUGAUGAGAUUGAUCAAUAUAUUGGACCAUUGAUAUCUACUUUAAUAUUAUCGAUGAAAAGAGUAUUUCUUAUAUGUAUAAAGUUUUGUUCAAAAGAUAAAACUUGUUUUUGAUUUCAUACAUAUGCAAUACUGUGGAUUUGAAUUAGAUGAGUUUUGAUUUUGUACUGUAAACAUGCACAGUAUAUGCUCAAUCUGCUUAGAAGAGAUAUGCACUUCUUAUCGAGCUAUAGUUGCUUAUUUUCAACUUCUUUAGUUAUUGACAAGCAAGAACAGAGCGCUAAUGGCAAGGAGCUUUCGCUAGUUGUGUUUUGGAUAUGAGUUGAGAUAGUACGAUAUACUUAUAUUUUAAUAUCAAGUUUGGGAUUGAGAAUGCGUUCUCCAAGUAGAAGGGCAGCAGUAUCGUUUCCCCAUUUCCAUAGAAUUCAGGAUGUGGCACGCGCCUCGUAUGGAUCAAACUUUUCGAGUCAUGUCCGUGUGGACUUGUUGUAGGGGUCAAGGUCACCGCUACACUAACCGACCAGACUAUGAAGGGGUGCAAUUUUGGCCAGUUGCGAUCGACUUGCACGAUACCAAUUUUUUUUCCUUUGACAACGAAACGUCAUUCUAGUCACUUUCCGAGGGAGUCAGGUGGUGAAAGCCCAAUUCGGAAACUCAAUAGCGGAGUCAUGCGACGUGUUCGACAAGAGGAGGGAUCUUGAUGCUGCGUAAUGGCUUGCUGUACAACUUCAAUUGCUUUGUGAUGUUUUUCAACUCUAAAUCACCACAAAACACUGUAACUUUUAAAAGGAAUUCGGUUCCUGUUACAACCUGUGAGUCUGUGACCUGUCAUCAUAAUGGCAUAAGAUAUUUAUAACUUAAAUCGAAAUUCGGGUGAAAUUGCACUCGAUGACUCCAGAAAAUCAUAGUUGAAGAUUGCUAUCCAUGACGGCAGGAGUGCAACCCGAUGACUUGAGAAAUAUGACUUGAGUGCUAGCAAGCAGAAAGCCAGAGCAGCAACCAAAGCAGUAGGAAAAAAAAAAAAACAAUGUCGGUACAAGAUUUUCUUCUAGCAGCCCCUACACCAUUUACAUGGUCAUGGAGUAAAAUAUAUUUUAAGGAUGCAUUUGUUUCGCGAAAAAUAAAUUAAAAUAAAUCACUAAAAAAUUAUUUUUUCUAUUGUUUACAAAAAUAUAUAAUAAAAAUAUUUUCAUCAUACACGAAAAAAUGUUUAGACAUUAUGGGUCCGUUCGUUUCGUGAAAAACAACUUCUGGGAAAACAUUUUCUGGAAUUUCUGGUGUUUGGAUGAUGAAAAAUAGAUGGUCAAAGAAAAUAUUUUCCGGCCAAUGGAAAAUCUUCUUGUAAGAUUGUGGAAAAUGAUUUCCUUUUUUGAGAAGAGAAAAAAAAUUUCCAUAACUUCUUCCACCUUCUUUCUUUUCACCAACACAUUUAUGCUUUCUUUUUCUUUUUUGUUUUUUUUUAAAUCGAGUUUUUAAUUUUUCCUUUUCUUUUUUUCCAUUUCAUCUUCUUCCUUGGUGGCCGGCGACUAGCCACAAGCCAGCUCGAGCCUCGCCCUAGGCUAGCGAGGCUCCGCCUAGCUUGAUCUGGCGAAGCCGAGCUCGCCCGAACCCAGUGAGCUCUGGCCUCACCAGAUCGAGCGAGGCAAAGCACCGCCGGCCUGGGGCAGAGCUCGGGCCUAGCUAGAUCCGGCAAGCUGGGCGAGGCUUGGGCCUCGCCUGAGCUUGACAGAGGUUCGCUAGGCUCUGGCGAGCCACGAGCUCGCCGAAUUUGGCAGAGGAGAUCAAGCUCCCGAUCCAGGCGAGCCCGAGCUUUGCCGCCAAUUCGGGCAAGCUCGCGGCUCACCAGAGCCCGGCGAAACUCUGGUGAGAUCGGCCGAGCCUCGAGCUCGCUGGAUCUGGCGAUUGGGUCUUGGUCAGUCGCCAGACAGCCGACCAUCGUCAGGCAUGCGGCGAUGGAGGAAGGAGGCGGUGGCGGAGGAAGGAGAAGUCGGGAGGAAGAAGGAGGAAGGAAAAGAAAAGGAAAGAAAUAAUAAAAAAAACAAUUUUUUAAGAAUACAAAUAAUUAAAAACUCAUUUUUUAAAAAAAUAUAAAAAAAUAAAACUAAUUUUUUGGUCAAUUAGAAAUAUUAAAAUUCAAUUUUUGAUAAUUCUUCCCAAACAAUUAAAUUAACUAAUAACCGGUAGAAAAUAUUUUCCACUCGAAAUUUAGAUUAAGGCCAAACACUGGAAAAUAGAGUCAUUUUCCUGGAAAAUGACUUCUAGGAAAAUGUUUUCCAGAAAUAUAAUAUUUUUUGCGAAAUGAACGGACCCUAUAAUGAAAACAUUUUGUAUUGAAUAAUUAUUUCAAGCAAUACAAACGAUUUUUUUAGAAAAAUAUUUUCUAAAUUAUUCAUUUUAUAUUAAACAAAUGGAGCCUAAGUUUCUACUUUAUGAAUGAAAGGAAUAUAUUGACAUAUGGGCUUUCAAGAAAAGAAAUGUCUGGCAUUAGAAUCAUUUAAAAAUGGAUACUUUUUUUUUUAGAAGAGAAGUCCAAUUAACUCAACGAAUUAACAAUUUUUCUAACAAGGAUAUUAAAUGAGUCGCCCAACAUUGACAAUCAUAAUUCUUCAGGUAAAUAUGUGCCUAAUGUAAUAUACUUUUUAUUAACUUGUCACAUUUUAUAUCAUUGUCACGUCAUGUAACAACCACUAUAUGAUGUUUCAGAUCUAGCAGAGAGCACAUUAUUCUAGACCAGAGAAGGAUACAACAUCAAAAAAGGCCUUAUAGAGGAUAAUUUCACUGGAGUGAUCCCACUUGACACAAUAUCUUUCACAAACUAGACUCGACAAAGCUUAUUAGAUCCCCUGAAUCCGUCGAUUGAGAUCGAGCGGUAACGUACUAAUUAGGCACGGGGAGACUCGAUGGUUCACGGAAAGCGACUACUCCUUCUCACAGACCAAGGACUCGGGUGCAUCCGACGGACCUAAUAAAGACGGUCCUAAUACAGACCGGGCCAGAGCUCGACGACCUUCUUCCAAGAAGGCCUGCUCGAGAUGUCAUCCCACCACGCACUCACAUGCUUCCGGUCCCUUAUCAGGUACUCCUUCCCCAUUUUUCCCAUCAGGUACUGCGUUAACGAGAGGUGGCUCAGGUCGGCGAGGCUGAACAAAUCCCCCGCCAGGUACUUGCUCUUCGACAGCCUCUCCUCGUAGAUGUCUAGCACCUUACAGAGCUUGUCCUCGCUCUCUUUGAUCAGCUUCGGAUCCGGGGUAAGUCCCCUAAUCGGGUCAAAAACAAUUUUGUAGAUGAGGUCAGUGAUGGGCGGGCUGUAGCACUGGGCCUCGACUUCGAGCCACUGCUCGACGAGCCCCGUCUCCUCUAUCGUCUUUCCCAGCAGGUCGGUCCCUUGGUGCUUGUAUUUCUGGGCAUAAUACCUUGCGAUGGCCCGCGAUUCUGCAUGAACAAAAUAGGAUCCAUUACAGAGAGACAAAUCUUUACCCCCCCGCAUGAAAUUGACCAUAAUCUAGAACGCAACCUAAAAGAGACCAGCGCUAAGAUUUUGAAUUUACAAGCAGUCAGUCUCACAACGCUAGACCAACAGUAACAGUGCAGAAUCAGUGGGAUGUUUUUAUGACUAUGAAUUGAUCAUUCUGCCUCGACAUCGAUCAGGAAAGUAAUUGGACAAAAAUGCAGGUUCAAACAGAUAAUCGACGGCCUUCGGCCAACAUAGGAAACGGUAGUUUUCGAAGCUACUCUUUACUCUUCCUUGGAUACUCCCCAGAUAGCCAGCUGACGAGUCUGGCCUCUUUUCCUUAAACCUGAGCAAUCCUGACUGAUGGGGAAAAUACUCGAAAGACUCGCAUCUCACCGCUGAAACGCACGCCCAAUCCUUCCCAAUUCAGACUAUUUCGCCAUGGAGCUUUGAUUUAAAUCAUCCAUUGCCUAGGCAAAUGUUUCGACUUGAGAUUGAUCAGACUCUUAAAAAGUUCAAAUUAUAAAGACGACAACCUUAACUUUAACCUAACAAAUGCCGGAAGGUGCUGAGUUCCGAGCACAAAUCCUCCGCCCCUAAUGCAUUUUGAUUACACCAGCAUUUUUUUUCUUUUUUUUUUAGAGAGGAUAAAAGAACACUCGAAAGUUAUUGUCAAAGCACGCAAGUGAUUAAAGGAGUCGCAAAGCUAAAUCACCGGACGUCCAUGAGCUAAAACGAGCUGCUAAUAUCAACUGAAUAUUAUGUCGACAGAACUUGGGCUUCUCAACUUCCUGUGGUAUCUAUUCAUUGCAGAGCUUCUUAGACUUUAAACACCAAACCUUAACCCGACAAAUUACACAAGCGACAGCAUGCUGAAGAACCAUCCGUGCUUCCACAUGUUUCGGUCCAAGCGUCGGAGUGCGAUGUGAAAAUCCAAAAGUCGAGAGCAUUACCAAACAAAGUAUAGUCUCCAUCUUGAAUCACAGGAACCGAUCCGAAGGGCUGCAGGCACGCACACACAUGAUCCGAAUCAGAAACAUUCAGAUAAAGUACCUCAAUGCUAAGUACCCACAAAGAAAAUGUAAACUCCAGUUGGAUCCAAAGAGACGCGAGUUUCAAGAACAGAGACAGGCCUGGAGCUUGAGGAAUUCAGGGGAUCUGUUCUCGUCCUUGAAGAUAUCGAUGGGAACGGUCUCGAACUCGACGCCCUUCUCGAUCAGGCACACCAGCACUCGCUUCGGAUUUGCAUAAUCAGGCCCGUACACCUUCACCACCAUUUUUUCUCUCUUCUUCUCUCUUGUCGACGGACCAGUUGAUUUCCAAAUAUCUUUCAGGAUCGACUCUCCUUCUGCGUCUGGGUUUAUAAAGGAAGCUCUUAUCAGACGAUUAAACCAAGUCGCACACGAUACCGUCAUGCACCAACUUACUGUUCGCGACCAGAUUCCUUUGGAGAUCCAAGGUUAGAUAAUCGGUCAAUGUUGGUAUGCUACUAAUUACCUUCGUCGAAUUUGACUUCGCAUAUGCCUCGGAAGGGUUUGCAACAUUUCCUCUGACUUAUCUUUGAUAGAUUGUUCUCUGGCAAUGCGCACGCUAUCUGACAUAUUUGGACGGUAGACUUGAAAUUCAUUAUGCUCGCAUAAAUUUCCUCGGAGAAAAUGACAGUCUUUAAAACUUUAGCCUAAGUGCAACGUUGUCUUUGACUUUUAUUAAUUUAAUGAAUUCCUUGAAUUUUCUAAUGUUCAAUCUAAUCCUUAAAUCCUUCUGCAUUUUGCCAAUUAAAUUCAUCUAGCUGAUUUUAGCUAAAGAUCAUUGAACUAGACAUUAACUUUAUUUGGUAGUAUAAGUGACAUUGAUGUAAACAAUUUUUUAAUAAUUUUAAAUUUUUAAUAAUUUUUUUCUUUUUUCUUUUUUCUUUUUCUAAUCCUAGGUCGACAACCCUCACUUCAUCUAGGCUAGGGGCCCUCACCCAAAACCAGGUGAGGGAUGCCCUCGCCUUACCCAAGCCAAGCAAGGGUGUCACAGCCCUCGCCUAAAUCUAGGCAAAGGCCAACCCUCUCACUUGUGGUCUGCAACUCAAGUAACACUGAUACCAGUAUAUGACAUGCAACACGACAUAAGAUGACAUAAGAUAACAUGCGAUAUGACACAAUAUAACACGUCAACAUGUUUUUUCUAAAACAAUAGAGAAUUCCGAUACGUUAGGACGCAUUAUAUAUUAAAUAUAUAUUUUUAUAUAUACAUGAUAAAUUAUCAUUUUUAUGAUUAUUUUAAUAAAAUUAAUUUGAUUUAGAUUCACAAAUAAAUAAAUAAUAAAAAAGAGCAUAGAAUGAAUUUACACUAAAAACAUUAAUUUAUCAUUUGUUGAUAUGAUUCAUUGUUUCAAUUUAACAAAUCCAGCUAUAUUCCGUUCAAAUAAUCUUUAAAACUUGAAGGAAAAAAAUCAAUUCACAUUCCACUAUUAAAUUAACAUUUAACAAGAAGUCAAAAAAAAAAAAAAAAACAAUCCACAUUUCACCAUCAAAUAUAACAAUAAGUCUUUAUUUCUCCCUUUUAUUUUUUUUAUUUUUUAUUUUUUUUUACAUAUUUAUAUUUUGACUCCUCUUUUAGUGAAACUUUUCAAAAUUAACCUAAUGUGUGUCGAAAUCACAUGUUGAAAUUAUAAACUCACAUGUUGGAUCCUGUUGCGCUGGAUGUCGGAUUUUCUAACACCUGUUGACUACGUGUGGAAAUGUGUCGGAGCGUGUCAAAGUGUUUGACACAACACGAAAGAUCUUGGAAAAUGUCAAUGCUUCCUAGCCUGCAACUAGGGUUAGGAAAAAAAAUAAAGGAAAGGAAAAACAAACAAACAAAUAAAUAAAUAAUAUUUAAAUAUUAUUAAAAAUUGUGUAUGUUAGCGUUAGUCGUCGCCGGCCGUAUCACAUACAACAUCUAACAUCCACAUUAGUAAUUUCAUGUCAAAAUUGGUCGAAGGAACUCAAUUGGAAAAAGUCAAAGAUAUUUAAACUCAAUUAACAAAAUUAAAAAGUUUAUGACUAAAUUGGCAAAAUUACAAUAGAUUUAGAAAUUUUUGGAUAAUUUUUCCUCUUCCCUCGCAUGCAAUGCAGACUUAUCUCCUAGAAUGAGUGUUAACAGCUCAUCAAACACCAGUUCAGUGAGUGCUGGACAUGUGAACGAACAUUUAUGAAGUUGCUCUUUCCAAGUUGUAAAAGAUCCAUAAAAGUUGGUUAGUAGGUGGUUAAAUUUUAAUUUCACCAAAGUCACUGGCAUAGUACUAAUUAGCCGCGUACAUAGCCCGACAAAACACGACACCGCCAGGAAUAAUACAACACCAAAGAGGUCCACGACGCAAACAGCCCUAGUAAAUUAGGAACAUCUGCAUGCUAAAGAACCAUCCGUCUGUCCCCGUGCUCUGAUCUCAAGACCGCAAGAAAACAGCAAUAGAAAGAAAAGAACGAUGCAAGAAGCCAAGAGUCGAGAGCAUUACCGAACAGAGUGUAGUCGCCAUCUUGAACCACAGGAAGCGAUCCGAAGGGCUAGACAGGCGCGCCCGCACGAGAUCCGAAUCAGCGUCAAUAAGACAAGACACACUUCAAAUGCCAAGUACCCACGAAAGGAGACACGAUGAAAAGUCAAGCUGUCGAGAGUUUGACCGAAAGUGAAGUCGGACUUUCAAGAACGAACGGGACAGACCUGGAGCUUGAGGUACUCGGGGGCUUUGUGCUCGCCUUUGAAGAGGUCGACGCCGACGGUCUCGAACUCGACGCCCUUCUCGAUCAGGCACACCAGCGCCCGCUUCGGCGACGCAUAGUCAGGCCCGUACACCUUCACCACCAUCUUCACUCUCGCUCCCUCACACUCUCUUUCACUCUCUCUCUCUCUCUCUCUCUCUCUCUCUCUGCUUCUUUCUUCCUUCUUGACGGACCUAGUCAGCGACUCUCUCCGCUCUGUCUCCCGCGUUUUAUAAAGAAGUCUCUUUGUUAGAGCAGCAGACAGAAGCUGCACACGUCAAUGAUGCACCAACCCACCACCAAUCCAAGGUUAGUUAAUUGGUCCCAUCACUAAAGAGUUUCGCAUUUUGCAUUUGCUUCCAUGAGUUUGAAUCCCUCUGCAAGUUAAGACUUAUCUGGAAAUAUUGCGACUCUUUGGCUGUGCAUGCUAUCUGGGUAAAGUUGGGAUGGCAAGUAGGGCCUCCUUUGGUUAUUGAUAGAUUUUUUUAUAUUUAUGAUAUAAAAAUCAUUUUUGUCUAAUAAUAAAUUUCUUCGAAUUUAAAUAAUUAAAUAUAAACAAUAUAUGAGUUCUAAUAUUAAAAGGGAAAUUCAAAAUAACAAUGAUUUUCAUUUUAUUUUUAUUUAUAUAUUUGAAUUUAUUUUCUAUAUAUACAUACUUAAAAUUUAUAUCUAUAGCAUAUUUUAGGUAUUUUGGUAUAGUUAAUUUAUUAAGAAAUGAUGGAAAGGAAUAAAAAAAGAAACAAAAAAAGAGAGUGAAAAUAAUAUAAAAAUAAGUAAAUAAAAUUGAAGUAGGCGAGAGAGUCUAAACACUAAUUCAGAUUCGCAAAGCUAAAUGAUAAUGUUUUCUUUCUCUUAACAGAUUUGAUACGCAUUGACUAAUUUUCCUAUUGAUAUUGUUGUAGCUCAUUUACAUUUGUCUUCAUAGUCGAACCCAUGACUCUAAAAUGCUACAAUGAGCUCAUUUGCUGUUUAAGAUUUGGAUUGUAAAAUAAUUAUGGAUUUAUUUAUGGAUGUUAUCUCCAUUUUGUCCUUUUAUGGUUUCUUUAGCAAUUAAACUGUAAAUUAUUCUUAACAUCUCCCUUUGUACAUUUUCAUGUACAUUUACAUUGAUAUACUAUUUAUAUCAAACAAUAGAUGUGAAAAUAUUCGAUUUUAUUACUAUAAUUUACCACAUAAUAGACAAGAUUUUGGUAAUUUCAUAUCCUACCAUAUCAUAUUAUAUUAAGUCAUAUUUUAACUAGAAAUCCAAAUGAACAAAGGCAGCCUAAAAUUGUUAAAAUCCGUCAUGCUCCAUGGGACAUUUGUAAUCUUGAAAGGAUAUGUCUUUUGUCGAUUUCUUUUGUACUAAAUUGAUGUCGCACCUAUGCUCUACACCUUUGAUUAGUUUUGGCCGAAAGUUUUCAAUAAUCGUCACCAGAAAUGGCAAAAAGCACUGUGCUCAUUUUUUCACAUGGCCUGCCUGCUUCUAGAAAGGCAAUUACCAAUUUGCUCAAAUUAGGUAGUAGGUGACGGUUCAAAUUGGCCUAUGUCCACAAGCCAUAGAUUCUAAUAAUUGGUCUUCUUUUUAAUCUAAAUUAUUCGAGGGAGUAGGAAGAUUUGGCCAAUCAAAAAUGCACACUUGAGCUGUCCUUGCAUCAUUUACAAAAUGGUUUUCUUUGUCGACUUCCUUUGUACCUGCAAUUGAGUAAACUAUUGAUCACCUAACCUCCACAAGAGAACGAGGAAGAAAGGGGUAAUCGACUAUUAUAUGUACAACGCCAUUAUUCACCCAAAUCAAUCAUUGCAUGUGGGAAUAUAAGACACCUCAUAACAUUUUCCAUGUGACAACGGAAUUAGAAGAGCAAAAAGCAUCAUUGCUCGGACGAAAUACUGCUAUGGGAAAGACUAUCAGUUCGAGUGUUAGAUGGGAGGCGUUUUUAGGAAGGAUCAUUUAUGUGAGGAAACUUAUACUGGCAACAAGGGAGAUAUAAAGAGGUGGAAGGAUGCACUAAGUAAAGUAGCUAGUCUUGCUAGAAGAGAAUUGAAAGAUGGGUAGGCCUCUCUUCCACUAACUUGGAAUUAUUUGUUUUCUUUAAGUUUAGUGUGCCAUGAAUGUCAUGACUAUCAUACUCUGUAUUAUGUUAGUUCAUCUAAACCAGAAUAUAUGAUUAACUCCUCCAAAACUACACUGCCUCAAUGCUACCUAGGGAACUAAUCAUCUGGAUUUCUUCAUUGUAGAUAUGAGACACAGUUCAUUUGGCAAAUCAUUGGAGAAAUCAAAGAUAAAUUGGGUCCCCGACUAUCCUAUGUUGUAGGUGUUAGGAAAAUUCCUUAUGAUAUUUUGAAAAUAACAAAAUAAAUCAAAGGCUACUAACGUGUUUAAUGGUUAAGUAACAGACUAUGCAGAUGAUAGAAUGUAUAAAGAAUAUUAUCAAAGUCUAUACUUGGAAGAACUAGAAGAUAGACUUUAUGCUGAAACUGAAUUUAUUCAAACUGUGUCUAGACCUUAAGUCUAAAUCUGUUCAAAAGCAGAUUAUGUUCAGACUUACGUCCAGAUUAUAAAGUCUAUCUCAGACUUUACUUCAAACUAAAGACACUCAGACUCUACUUCAAAUAGAAUAUUCCCGAACUUUACAUCCAGAACGAGACACAAGUUUAGAACGUAGCAGAUUCAUAAUGAAGCAUGUUCAGAAUGAGACAACUUGAUAGAACGUAACACGAGCCCCAAACAUAUAACGGCUAGUAAUCUGGUUUGGAUUCUACAUCAAGAUAGAUUUGAUUGACAAAUUGGAUAUUAAAAACAAGAACUUUCUAUACGAAGAAGCUAUACUUAUGAAAACCAAGAUUCUGCUUGUAUGGGCGAUCGGAAUCAAUUUGGGAUUCUACUUCUAUCACUCAACGGCUAUUAAAUCUUCUAAAUAUAGAUAUGUCCAAUGGGUAGAUCGGAAGACGAUCCUCUAAAUACUGUCCAAUUACUAGUUUGAAAGUGGAGGAGUAUUUAAGGAGAUCAAUGACCGAUAAACAAAUAAGAGACGAAGCGUAGAAAUUUAUAAUUUCAAAGUAUGAGCAAUCUUCAAUCAUACGCUUGUCUUUGGUAAGCUUAAACAUUUGUGAUCGUGAGAGAAAUAUCAAAAGAGUGACUUAGUGAGAUAGUGUGCUCUACCACUAAAUGUUUGCACUCAAAGUUGUAAUCUCUUGUUGAUCAUAUAGUGGAAUCCAGCCAGAAGGCUGUCAGCGUGGAAGAGUGGAUGUAAGCUUGAUCUAAGCCGAAUCACUAUAAAUUCUAUGUUUUUAUUCUCUUUCCUGAACUCCUUUAUUUUGUUCGUAGUUCUAUUUAACUAUUAAAGUUUGAACUCGCUCAAAGUCUGUUGUUCUUCAGACUCAGUUUCAAAAGCAAAAUAUUUGUAUUACUUUUUGCAAAAAAUUUUCUUCACACCUAUUCAACCCCCCUCUAGGUGUUCAUACUAGCACUUUCAGUAGGCAAUCUUGUGGGAAUGCAUUCCCGGGUUGCAAAUGUAGUUGAAUAUUUAUCCUUGGACGAGAGUGAUGUACACAGUAUUGGCAUAUGGGGAAUGGGUGGCAUAAGCAUAACAACUGUUGCACAAGCAAUUUUUGACAAAAUCCGUGGCCGAUUUGAUGAUGGAAGUUUCUUGCCAAUGUCAAAGAAAUUUCAAAAAAGAAUGGUUUGGUAUAUUUGCAAAACCAGUUUCUCAGUGAUAUUCUCCAAGAGGACAAUUUGACAAUCAUGGAUGAUCACAGAGGAACAAACAUGAUAAGAGAACAACUGUGACAUAAAAAAGUUCUUGUUAUACUUGAUGAUGUGGACGAAAAGGAGCAGCUGGAAAAACUAGCAAGAGGUCUUGAAUGGUUUGGACAUGGGAGUAGGAUCAUUAAAACAACUAGAGAUGAACAUUUGCUUCUCCAAUAUGAUGUAAAUUCCAUAUAUAGGGUGGAGGGACUAUCCUUUUAUCAGGCUCGCCAACUAUUUUGUUCAAAAGCUUUUAGAAGUGACCAUCCUCCAAUAGAGUUCGAGGAGCUCACAAAGCAGGUUAUUGAAUAUGCUAGUGGUCUUCCUCUAGUCCUUGAUGUCUUAGGUUCCUUUUUGGCUUAUAGGAGCUUGAAGCAAUGGAAGAGUGCACUAGCCAAACUCAAGAAAUGUCUAGAAGGGAAAAUCUUUUACCAGCUUAAGUUAAGUUAUGAUGGACUACAGCAGAAAGAGAAGGAGAUUUUCCUAGAUAUUGCAUGUUUUUUCAAGGGAAAGGAGAAACCUUAUGUUACAAAAGUUUUGGACAAUUGCGGUUUGUACGUAGAUAUUGGAAUCAAAGUCCUUGUCAAUAGAGCUCUCAUCCAAAUCGUGGGCAACAAACUGUGGAUGCAUGAUUUGCUACAAAAUAUGGCUUGGGAAAUUGUUCGUCGAGAGUCUCCUAAAGAGCUAGGAGAACAAAGUCGAGUCUGGCUUUUUGAGGAUGUAUGCCAUAUUUUGUCAAAAAACUCGGUGAGUAUCUGCAAAAUUAAUUUGCAAGCAUGCCUAUUUGAUAGAGUUUAAAAAGAACUUGCUAGUCAUAUAUUGACACUAUAUGAGUUGUUUAUCAAGGAACUGGAAAAGUCAAAGCCAUAGUCUUGCAAUAUGGGGACCAUAGAACAAUGCGCUUGAGUGGAGAGUCCUUCACCAACAUGACUAAAUUAAGAUUGCUUGAUAUUCGGGCCAUCCACCUCUCUUAUGGGUUCAAGCACCUUUCAAAUGAACUAUGCCUACUAAGAUGGGACAACUGCAGUCUUAAAUCAUUUCCACCAAGUUUUCUUCCAAAGAAUCUUGUCGAACUCCAUAUGCAGGAUAGCCUCCUUUGCAACAACUGGAGAGGGGAAAAUGUUGGAAUUAGUACUAAUGCAUGUUAACCUCAAUGGUUCCAAAUUAUUUGUGGAGACUCCAAACUUCAUAUAUGUCCCAAAUCUAGAGAGGCUAAUUCUCAAAGGUUGCAAAGCAUUAUCUAAAGUUCAUCCUUCAAUUAGAAAUCUAGAAAGACUCAGUCUACUUGAGGUGAUUGUGAAAAUAUCAUGGGACUUCCAAAUAGUCUAGGUAAUCUAAAAUCUCUCAGAGUUCUUAAUCUAUGUAGAUGUUCAAAUCUUGAAGAACUGCCUGAUAGCAUUGGGGGCUUAGAGUGCUUAGAGGAGCUUGAUAUUAGUGAAAGUGCCAUGACACGCCUCCCAUCCAGCUUGGUGUUCUUACAAAAUCUGAAAAAAUUAUGCUUUCAUGUUAAUAAAAGGAGGCCACAAAAUUGUUGGAGGACACUGACCAAACGCUGAGAAGAGCUCUGAACUCUAGAAGUCCGAGGUUGCCUUCAUUUUCAAGGCUAUCCUCUUUAAUAGAGUUGGAUUCGAGUGGCUGUAGACUUCUGGAAGGAGAAAUUCCCAGUGAUAUUGACUGCUUACCCUCCUUGAUGUCUUUAGAUCUAACUGAAAACAGUUUUACCACCAUACCUGCAAGCAUCAAACAUAUCUUUGGCUUGAAAUAGCUUUGUAGCAUUUUCUCUGGCCCAUCUUUGACAUAUUAUAUACUCUUGCAGCGUGCAUAAUGUUGGAUAUAGUUGGACAGUAGAAUCAUAAAAAUUUCAUUAUGCUCGCAUAAUUUACAUAUUUCUAAUUAUCAUUUUUUUGUGGGCCAUUUGAAAUUUAAAAGGCCUAUCUUUCGUCAAUUUUUUCUUCACUGGAUGAUGUCGAACCUAUGCUCAAUAGUCAAUUUACAUUGACUUCACUAGAUGAAUGUCAAACCUAUGCUCAAUAGUCAAUUUACGUUACUUGUUUUGGCCGAAAAGUUUCCAACAAUCCUCAGUAGAAACGGCAAAAGCAUUUUGCUCGUCCAUGUUGAUAUUGCCCGAUUGCCUGCCUGCUUCUAGAAAAGCAAUUACAAAUUUGCUCAAAUUGGGAAUUGGGGAUACUAAUCGGUCUUUUUCCACAAUUUCUUUAAAGUUUAGGAAGAAUGUUCAAGUGUCGAUAUUCAUGAGACAAUAUGAACUUUUCUCGUAUGCUUCAGCUAAUCUUUUUGGGGAUGAUCUCAUCGUGUGAUGCUACUCUGUUUUCUGCAGCAGUUUUGGCUUUUCUUCUGGUGCAAAAGAGUCGGCAAACCUCCGUCUUCUUCAUGCCAACAAGACGCGCCCACAUCUAAUAUAUAAAACUUGAUGCGGUCGGUAUCCAUGUUUAUAAAGAGUUCAUUUAUCUCUUAGAAUGAGUCUUAACAGCUGAUCUAACACCAAUUCAGUGAGUACUGGACAUAUAAAUGAAAGUCUAUGAAGUUGCUCCUUUCAAGUUGUAAAAGAUCCUCAAAAGUUGAUAAGUAGGUGAUUAAUUUUUAAUUUCACCAAAGUCGCUCGCAUAGUACUAAUCAGCUGCGUACAUAGCCCUUUCAUUUAUCUCUUAGAAUGAGUCUUAACAGCUGAUCUAACACCAAUUCAGUGAGUACUGGACAUAUAAAUGAAAGUCUAUGAAGUUGCUCCUUUCAAGUUGUAAAAGAUCCUCAAAAGUUGAUAAGUAGGUGAUUAAUUUUUAAUUUCACCAAAGUCGCUCGCAUAGUACUAAUCAGCUGCGUACAUAGCCCGACAACACGCAACACUGUCAUGAAUAAAACAACAAGAAGGAGGUCCACGACACGAUCGGUCAAACCAGAUUCAACAAAGCUUAUUUGAUCACCCAGAUCGAGUAGAAACAUACUUAGUAGUCACAGAAAGACUCGCUAUCCUUCGCAUAGAACAAGGACUCGGGUGCACUCGGCAUAACUGAUAAAACAGUCCUAAUACAGACCGGGCCAGAGCUCAAGGACCUUCUUCCAAGAAGGCCUGCUCGAGAUAUCAUCCCACCAACCGCUCACAUGCUUUCGGUCCCUUAUCAGGUACUCCUUCCCCAUCUUGCCCACCAAGUACUGGGUGAAUGGAAGGUGGCUCAGGUCGGCAAGGCUGAAGAAAUCCCCUGCCAGGUACUUGCUCUUUGACAGCCUCUCCUCGUAGAUAUCCAGAACCUGACAGAGCUUGUCCUCGCUCUCUUUGAGCUGCUUCGGAUCCGGGGUAAGCCCAAUGAACGGGCCGUAAACAAUUUUGAGGACAAGGUCGUAGAUUGGCGGAUGGAAGUUGUGGGCCUCGACUUCGAGCCACUGCUCAACGAGCCCCCUCUCCUCGAUUGUCUUCCCCAGCAGUUCAGUCCGUUGGUCCUUGUAUUUCUCGGCAUAAUACCU